AGAGCAGUGUGUCAUUUCCGGACGCCGAGUCUUUCCAGUAAGAGAAGUGAAACAGACCCCCCCCCCCCCCCGCCGCCGCCCCUCCCCCGCUCAACAGCGCGCUCGCGCCAGUGCCCCCGAGACUGUGUCCGUGCCCGUGUCCGCCAGCGCUCCGCUAUUAGGAUCCCCAUCGUGCUCUGAGACGCGGGUCCACAGCGAAGCAACACUAAAGCCUUCAUCGGGACUGCAGGAACAGGACUGGACCCAACCAGCAGACGAUGCAGCCACUGAGGGAGAAUAUGAUGAUGAAGAGGAUUAUAGUUACGACUAUAAGGCAGAGUUUAAUGAUAGCAAUACAAAUAUUUUUCAGGUCAAGCUUUUCAACAAGACAUAUAAUGGAACUUUCAUCAAGUCAAUAAAUUAUUUUAAAAUUGACGAUGAAGAUAUAAGCAGUCGUUUAAAUCUUUCAGAUGGUAUGCAGAGUUUACAAAAGCUGUUUUGCAUGGUGUACAACAACAGUCAGUUUAGCUGCAAUUGGACGGCACAAAAGCCCCCCUCCGACACCCACAUUUCUUUCACUGUCUUUCAGCAAAAUGCAAGAGCCAGAACAUGGAACUGCUCCACUAGACGAAGCAGUGAAGUUGUAGAAUGCAGUGGCAGAAUCAACCCAGACAAACAUCUUAUGACUGUACAAAUCACUUUUUCCCUCCCAAAUUCAUUGUACGUCCAUACUCAACAUUUUGAGGUGAAAGAAAUUGAAAAGCUCAAUCCUCCACACAGAAUAACAAUGUCAUUAACUGCUGGAGACCUUCGAAUCGAAUGGGACCGUCCACAAAAUAUCGGUGAAAACUGCUUCAACUAUCAGUUACGGCUCAGCAAUGACACAGAGUGCUGA
RNAcentral lists this long non-coding RNA (874 nucleotides) under Scleropages formosus (Asian bonytongue). Its description in RNAcentral is "lncRNA (ENSSFOG00015025126.1)". The record is from RNAcentral. Lineage: Eukaryota; Metazoa; Chordata; Actinopteri; Osteoglossiformes; Osteoglossidae.